This 31-nucleotide non-coding RNA is filed under the name Mus musculus (house mouse). Lineage: Eukaryota; Metazoa; Chordata; Mammalia; Rodentia; Muridae. The record is from RNAcentral.
UGAUGCAAUGAAGGUGAUGUUCUUUUUGGCU